GUGUUGACAGAAGAUAGAGAGCACAGAUGAUGAGAUACAAUUCGGAGCAUGUUCUUUGCAUCUUACUCCUUUGUGCUCUCUAGCCUUCUGUCAUCACC
RNAcentral lists this microRNA precursor (98 nucleotides) under Arabidopsis thaliana (thale cress). RNAcentral's name for it is "miR157a stem-loop (ath-MIR157a)". Its record names the gene ath-MIR157a. Lineage: Eukaryota; Viridiplantae; Streptophyta; Magnoliopsida; Brassicales; Brassicaceae. The record is from miRBase by way of RNAcentral.